UCCAUCUCCAGAAACCCGAGAACUGCUCAACAUGUUGGGAGCGUCUCUCCUUGUCCUUCUGGGCAUCUGGUGCACAGGAUCCAGGUCUCAGCCUACGGUGAUUCAGGAAUCCUCCAUGUCACCUUCCCCUGGACAGACAGUUAAACUCUCCUGUUCCCUCAGCAGUGGACAAGUAACGUCAUAUGAGCAAUCGUGGUAUCAACAGAAAGAAGGAGGUCCUCCCAGAUUCCUGUAUUAUUACUACAACAGUGCAGCUCCAGGCUCUGGAGACCUCAGCCGCUUCUCUGCCUCCAAGGAGAGCAGCCAAAAUAAAUGGUAUUUGACCAUCAGCAACGUCCAGCCAGAAGACGAGGCUGCUUAUUACUGUGCUGUGUGGUAUCACCCAAGUACAGUGUUCCACAGUGCCUUCGCCCAGUAUCUCCUGACCCAGCCGCUGUCCGUCUCUGUGUCCCUGGGGCAAGAUGGAGGAAUCACUUGUUCAGGAAACAACAUUGGAGGAAAGAACGUUCACUGGUACCAGCAGAAGCCUGGUGGUCCCCCUGUCCUGAUUAUAUACGCUGAUAGCCAGAGGCCCACCGGGAUCUCAGACCUGUCCUAA
Candoia aspera is the source of this 598-nucleotide non-coding RNA. The record is from the annotation of a RefSeq genome assembly. NCBI's taxonomy places the organism in Eukaryota, Metazoa, Chordata, Lepidosauria, Squamata, Candoiidae.